GACGAACGCUGGCGGCGUGCUUAACACAUGCAAGUCGAACGGAAAGGCCCUGCUUUUGUGGGGGGCUCGAGUGGCGAACGGGGGAGUAACACGUGAGUAACCUGCCCUUGACUUUGGGAUAACUUCAGGAAAAUGGGGCUAAUACCGGAUAGGAGCUCCUGCUGCAUGGGGGGGGUUGGAAAGGUUCGGCGGUUGGGGGUGGACUCGCGGCUUAUCAGCUUGUUGGUGGGGUAGUGGCUUACCAAGGCUUUGACGGGUAGCCGGCCUGAGAGGGUGACCGGCCACAUUGGGACUGAGAUACGGCCCAGACUCCUACGGGAGGCAGCAGUGGGGAAUAUUGCACAAUGGGCGGAAGCCUGAUGCAGCAACGCCGCGUGCGGGAUGACGGCCUUCGGGUUGUAAACCGCUUUCGCCUGUGACGAAGCGUGAGUGACGGUAAUGGGUAAAGAAGCACCGGCUAACUACGUG
RNAcentral lists this ribosomal RNA (468 nucleotides) under uncultured bacterium. RNAcentral's name for it is "partial 16S ribosomal RNA". It matches the Rfam family "Bacterial small subunit ribosomal RNA", at positions 28 to 507 of the family's 1533-position model. The record is from RNAcentral.